RNAcentral lists this ribosomal RNA (1058 nucleotides) under Curvularia papendorfii. Its description in RNAcentral is "SSU rRNA". It matches the Rfam family "Eukaryotic small subunit ribosomal RNA", at positions 61 to 1129 of the family's 1831-position model. Lineage: Eukaryota; Fungi; Ascomycota; Dothideomycetes; Pleosporales; Pleosporaceae. The record is from RNAcentral.
AAGUAUAAGCAAUUAUACCGUGAAACUGCGAAUGGCUCAUUAAAUCAGUUAUCGUUUAUUUGAUAAUACCUUACUACUUGGAUAACCGUGGUAAUUCUAGAGCUAAUACAUGCUGAAAAUCCCGACUUCGGAAGGGAUGUGUUUAUUAGAUAAAAAACCAAUGCCCUUCGGGGCUCUUUGGUGAUUCAUGAUAACUUUACGGAUCGCAUAGCCUUGCGCUGGCGACGGUUCAUUCAAAUUUCUGCCCUAUCAACUUUCGAUGGUAAGGUAUUGGCUUACCAUGGUUUCAACGGGUAACGGGGAAUUAGGGUUCGAUUCCGGAGAGGGAGCCUGAGAAACGGCUACCACAUCCAAGGAAGGCAGCAGGCGCGCAAAUUACCCAAUCCCGACACGGGGAGGUAGUGACAAUAAAUACUGAUACAGGGCUCUUUUGGGUCUUGUAAUUGGAAUGAGUACAAUUUAAACCUCUUAACGAGGAACAAUUGGAGGGCAAGUCUGGUGCCAGCAGCCGCGGUAAUUCCAGCUCCAAUAGCGUAUAUUAAAGUUGUUGCAGUUAAAAAGCUCGUAGUUGAAACUUGGGCCUGGCUGGCGGGUCCGCCUCACCGCGUGCACUCGUCCGGCCGGGCCUUCCUUCUGAAGAACCUCAUGCCCUUCACUGGGCGUGUUGGGGAAUCAGGACUUUUACUUUGAAAAAAUUAGAGUGUUCAAAGCAGGCCUUUGCUCGAAUACGUUAGCAUGGAAUAAUAAAAUAGGGCGUGCGUUUCUAUUUUGUUGGUUUCUAGAGACGCCGCAAUGAUUAACAGGAACAGUCGGGGGCAUCAGUAUUCAGUUGUCAGAGGUGAAAUUCUUGGAUUUACUGAAGACUAACUACUGCGAAAGCAUUUGCCAAGGAUGUUUUCAUUAAUCAGUGAACGAAAGUUAGGGGAUCGAAGACGAUCAGAUACCGUCGUAGUCUUAACCGUAAACUAUGCCGACUAGGGAUCGGGCGAUGUUCUUUUUCUGACUCGCUCGGCACCUUACGAGAAAUCAAAGUUUUUGGGUUCUGGGGGGAUUAUGGU